GACGGGCACUGAGGGGGACACUUGACGGGAUGAGCACUGGGUGUUGUUCUGUAUGUUGGUAAAUUGAACACCAAUAAAAAAUUAAUUUAUUAAAAAAAAAGAAAGUCAUUGUAUUUUAAAGUGCUGUGCAUGUUCAGGGUUACUUCUAAUUAUUAUAUUUUUUCACAAAUAUUUUCAAGUACCUAUUACAAGGCAGGCACUUGACUCAAUAUUGGGAAAACAACAGGAAAUAAGACAUAGCCAAGGGGUUUGCUAGAGGCUAGUCAGGGUUAUAAAUACACACACACGCACACACACACACACAAUUACUAUAGAGUGAUUUGUGUUAAGAAUGAGUCAGCCCAUAGGAGGAGCACAUAGGUCUUUGGGAGAUGAGGGCAGAGAAGAUCUGUUGAAGGAAACAAUAGAUAAGAUGGAACCCAAGAGAGGAGUAGGUAUUAGGUGAAGAAAUGUAGAGCAAAGAGGAAUGCUCUAGGCAAAGCAUAUAGCACAAGGAAAAACUGAGAAUUGUAGGAUCGGGGAAUUAAAAACUGUUCAUUAUGGCUUGAGCAUAGAAUGUGGGAAGUAUAAGAAAAGAUGGGUUAUGGGGGAGGAAGCAAUGGAGCUAGCAAAAUUUGGACCAAAGUGUGGAAGGAGCAUAAUUCAGAGAAAAGAACAGGGUAAAGCACUAGGGUGUGGCAGGGCAGCAGGCAAUCUACCCUGGACAUUGAUUUUCUCCAAAUUUCAUGGAGAAUUCUUGAGCAAGUGUGGGCUGCCCAUUGUGGUGCUCAGAAUGGUUGUUCUAAGCAGUGGGACUGGGAGUGUGUGAGUUUGGUUCCUGUCUCUGGUCCCUCUUAAAUCUGUGUCCUCACCUUUGGAUCAACCUGCAUGCAGGCACAAGUAUGGAGCCUUUAGAGAUCACAGAAUCCUAUCUGAUUUAAUAGAUGAGAAAACUGAGCCUCUGGGCAAAGCAUGUACCCAACAGAGUACUGGGUAACUAUCCCUUUCCCCAUUAGACCUCUAUUUUUACUUUUUCAGAGAUAGAAAUCCCAGCCCAAACUGACAGACCUGCACAGAAUGAAAGCCUAACGACACCAGGAAUUGGGCCAAAAGGGAGUAUGACAUCUAGCUCUUUCUGGAAAUGAGUUUGACCAGGAUCCGGAUGGAUAGAGUAGAAUCAAUAAUCUACCAUGUAAGAACAUAAGAUAAUCACUCAUUUGAGGAACAGUAAACAAAAAAUAAGACCACUGUGGGGGUCUCUAUAAAAGAUAUUUAUUGUAUUACACGGGGAUCUUAGUUAUAAGAAGUGAAUUGGAUUCUGAGAAUAUAAACAGAAAAUAAAUUUAUCAAAUGGAUGUUGAGAGACUUUCAGGGCCCGUUUUCAGACUAUUGAACAGAUUCAGAGACUAUGCAACCAGGAGUGAAGCCAUUUAAUGGUCCUGUGGUAACAUUCCUAAUACCACAGCUGAUGAUGCACAUUAUUGCUUAUACCACUGACAUCCCCAACACUGGUGCUAUCCUUAGAACUGCCAUCAUGCUGCCUCUGGAAAUUGGAAUUAGCCAGUUCUGUUCUGCCUUUUUGAGCCACUCAUAUUAGUCAAUGCAAAUACAUCUAACAGGUGGAGCCUACUCUGUGUCCUCUAAUUCUAACUGAGACUAAGACAUUGAGUUUCUGGGAUUUUCAGUUUCUAUACAGAAGACAAGCUUUGCUUCAUAAAAUGGGAGAUUCUCCAAGCAUAGGAAGGGAGAAGGAGGAGAUUCAGAUGCUGAGAUAAAAAACAAUGACAAAUGUUCGUUACAGUACAGAACAAGGGAAAAGAGAACAUUAGCCUGGGCAUACAAAGAGAGAACAAUGUUCUGGAAAUGAUUUGCUGGAAGAACCAGAAGAAAUGAUAAAGAAGUUUUGGCAGUCUCUAAAACCUUAAAGGCCAUGCCUUUUUGAAAGAACAGAGGUAAUAAAGAGUCUAACUUGAAAAGACAAAAGAACAACAGAAAUGGAAAUAGAUAAAAUGGGAAAAUAUUUUAGGAAACUUAAAAAGUAUAACAGCAAAAUUAACAUCCUCACAGAGGGCAGAACCAGAGCAGAAAUGGCCUGGAAAAAGUCUGGUCUAUUAUACAGAGGAUACACCUGAAUCUUUUUUAGAUUAUAGAGAAAAGCCUAAAGAGAUCAAAAUAAAAAGAGAAAAUGAUCUGUGGAAGACAAGAGUCAGAGAUCCAACCUGAGAAUUAUUGAAGGUCCUUGGGGGAAAAGCAGGUCUUAGGUCAGAAACAAUAUUGAUCAGAAACAGUGAUUAAGAGCAUACCUAGAGGAGUCUUUCCUGAACUGCAGAGAGUUUACCUGAGUACGGCAACAAAAAGUUCCACUGCAUUCAAGGCAAAGUCAAAGACAAGAGAUUCACACUGAGACACAUCAGGGUGAAAUGUCUGAAGCAUACAAGUAAAGCACAACGAAUCCCUUAAACAUCGAGGUGGCAAAAAUAGUUUACCUAGGAAGAAAUCAAGAUCACACAUUGACCUUAGGGCAUCUGCGUGGCUCAGUCAGAUCCCAGGUAAUUCCUAGGCACAUUACCAUGUGAGAAACACUCUACAGAUGAAAAACAGAACCAAAGAGAGGAAUUCAAGAAUGGAUGGUUUAAAUCGUUGGCAAACUGCUCUUUGAGACAUCAACAGAACCCCCACCUUGCUGGGAGGUCCGUGAGGAGAGGGGCAGUAUCACCUGAGCCUGAACAAGCAGGAUGACGUCUCUGCAACAAGAGGGAGGACUGGUGCCCCCUCACAGCAGCACUGGGAACCAAGUUGUCCUUUUAUCCUUUUCACGUGGCUUCUUAUCUCUCGUGAGGCUAAUACUAUAUAUAACUGAACAUUAAGAAAUGUCUCUUGAAAAUAAAUAAAUAAAUAAAUAAAUAAAUAAAUAAAUAAAUAAAUAAAUAAGAAAUGUCUCUUGAAGGAUGGAUCGCUCACAUAAGGUUUAACAUAAUUGAAAAACCCAAUAAAGUAUGAUUAGAACAAAGCUUAAAAAAAUGCUUGUGGGAAAAAAUGGAAGGAAAUAGAGCAAAUUAUGAAAUAAUAAAAAUUCUUAUUUCUCUUAAAAUGUCUAUAUUUUCAAGUUUUCUUGAAUGAGCUAAUUAUUAUAGAUGAUAAAAAUAAACAAAAAUAUUUUCUAGCAUUAUGGGAAUACCAAAGCAAGAGAGCAAAUUGUAUCUUUUCUCUAAGCCUUCCUUUCCAGCAUAAUCUCUCACCGUUCCCGUCCUGCACUUCGUGUUCUGACAAACCUACUUCAUACUUUUCCAUCUCAGCGUCUUUGCUUACUGGGAAAUCCACUUCUCCCAGCCUAACAAAAAUGUCUAUGGGCACAAAUCCUUUAGUCCUUCAACCGCCUUUCCAUGGAGACCUCAUUGAUAGUUAGAACCAGUGACAUUCUAACUCUUCUUCAACUCCCUGUAUGUCUCUGCAGGUCUUUAACACUUUAUAUCUCAUAUUGUCAUAUUAUGGGUGUUGUUACUACUAAUAGUGUGAUAAUGGUAAUGGUAGUAGUGAUAUUCUAAUACCUUUGCUGUACUGUGAAUUCCUCAAGCCCUUUUGGACUUUUGAAAACACCUUGAGUAUAGUGUUAAAAACAAAGACAAUAGGCCCCAAUGGAGUCACUCACACUAAGCCCCGUGUCACCAAACCAAGACUUAAUACUUAAUUACAGUUUUUAGUCUUUCAGAAAUGGAAUCCUAAACUAGCCAGUCAGGAGUCACCUGGUCAGCAACAGUGAGGUAAUCUGCCUGAUGGACCCCUCUCAUCCCCUAAAAGAGAGUGACCUUGCUACAAUCAAUCCACUUACUGCCGGUAAAACUUCGUGUGCCUGCUCCCUUCUGCCUAUAAAAGUUUUUCAUUUUGUACAGCUCCUCAGAACUCCUUUUUAUCUGCCAUAUGGGAUGCUGCUUGAUUCAUGAAUCAUUGAAUAAAGUCAAUAAGAUCCUUAAGAUUUA
Long non-coding RNA from Canis lupus familiaris (dog), 3956 nucleotides. RefSeq lists it as uncharacterized. NCBI's taxonomy places the organism in Eukaryota, Metazoa, Chordata, Mammalia, Carnivora, Canidae. The transcript is spliced from 2 exons. The record is from RefSeq and is a predicted model, not a curated record.